RNAcentral lists this ribosomal RNA (465 nucleotides) under uncultured bacterium. RNAcentral describes it as "partial 16S ribosomal RNA". It matches the Rfam family "Bacterial small subunit ribosomal RNA", at positions 339 to 795 of the family's 1533-position model. The record is from RNAcentral.
CUACGGGUGGCAGCAGUGGGGAAUAUUGCACAAUGGGCGCAAGCCUGAUGCAGCCAUGCCGCGUGUAUGAAGAAGGCCUUCGGGUUGUAAAGUACUUUCAGCGGGGAGGAAGGGAGUAAAGUUAAUACCUUUGCUCAUUGACGUUACCCGCAGAAGAAGCACCGGCUAACUCCGUGCCAGCAGCCGCGGUAAUACGGAGGGUGCAAGCGUUAAUCGGAAUUACUGGGCGUAAAGCGCACGCAGGCGGUUUGUUAAGUCAGAUGUGAAAUCCCCGGGCUCAACCUGGGAACUGCAAUCUGAUACUGGCAAGCUUGAGUAUCGUAGAGGGGGGUAGAAUUCCAGGUGUAGCGGUGAAAUGCGUAGAGAUCUGGAGGAAUACCGGUGGCGAAGGCGGCCCCCUGGACGAAGACUGACGCUCAGGUGCGAAAGCGUGGGGAGCAAACAGGAUUAGAUACCCCUGUAGUC